GAUGAACGCUGACAGAAUGCUUUACACAUGCAAGUCGGACGAGUGGCGAACGGGUGAGUAAUAUAUUGGAACGUACCGAGUAAUGGGGGAUAACCAAUCGAAAGAUUGGCUAAUACCGCAUAUUAUUCGAGCGGCCGAUAUCUGAUUAGCUAGUUGGUGGGGUAAAGGCCUCCCAAGGCGACGAUGAGUAGCGGGUCUGAGAGGAUGAUCCGCCACACUGGGACUGAGACACGGCCCAGACGCCUACGGGAGGCAGCAGUGGGGAAUUUUGGACAAUGGGCGCAAGCCGGAUCCAGCCAUGCCGCGUGUCUGAAGAAGGCCUGAGGGUUGUAAAGGACUUUUGUUAGGGAAGCGGUACCUAAAGAAGAAGCACCGGCUAACUACGUGCCAGCAGCCGCGGUAAUUC
This 406-nucleotide ribosomal RNA is filed under the name uncultured bacterium. Its description in RNAcentral is "partial 16S ribosomal RNA". It matches the Rfam family "Bacterial small subunit ribosomal RNA", at positions 28 to 526 of the family's 1533-position model. The record is from RNAcentral.